GACGAACGCUGGCGGCGUGCUUAACACAUGCAAGUCGAACGGAAAGGCCCUGCUUUUGUGGGGUGCUCGAGUGGCGAACGGGUGAGUAACACGUGAGUAACCUGCCCCUGACUUUGGGCUACCUUCAGGAAACUGGGGUUCAUACCGGAUAGGCGCUCCUGCUGCAUGGUGGGGGUUGGAUAGUUUCGGCGGUUGGGGAUGGACUCGCGGCUUAUCAGCUUGUUGGUGGGGUAGUGGCUUACCAUGGCUUUGACGGUUAGCCGGCCUGAGCGGGGGACCGGCCACAUGGGGACGGAGAUACGGCCCGGACUCCUACGGGAGGAGGCGGGGGGGAAUAUUGCACAAUGGGCGGAGGCCGAAGGCAGAAACGCCGCGUGCGGGAUGACGGCCUUCGGUUGGUAAACCGCUUUCGCCUGUGACGAAGCGGGAGUGACGGUAAUGGGUAAAGAAGCACCGGCUAACUACGUG
This 468-nucleotide ribosomal RNA is filed under the name uncultured bacterium. Its description in RNAcentral is "partial 16S ribosomal RNA". It matches the Rfam family "Bacterial small subunit ribosomal RNA", at positions 28 to 507 of the family's 1533-position model. The record is from RNAcentral.